UACGUAGGGUGCAAGCGUUGUCCGGAAUUAUUGGGCGUAAAGAGCUCGUAGGCGGUCUGUUGCGUCGGCUGUGAAAACCCGGGGCUCAACUCCGGGCCUGCAGCCGAUACGGGCAGACUAGAGUUCGGCAGGGGAGACUGGAAUUCCUGGUGUAGCGGUGAAAUGCGCAGAUAUCAGGAGGAACACCGGUGGCGAAGGCGGGUCUCUGGGCAGUAACUGACGCUGAGAAGCGAAAGCGUGGGGAGCGAACAGG
Molecule: ribosomal RNA, 253 nt
Filed under: uncultured bacterium
Lineage: Bacteria
Description: partial 16S ribosomal RNA
Rfam family: Bacterial small subunit ribosomal RNA
Source: RNAcentral